CACAAAGUUUCCCACUUACCCCAUUUGAGUUUCGAAACUUUACGGCCUCACCACCACCAAAACAAAGACACACUUUUUGUUUUCUUCUAGAUUAACCGAGAGAAAAGAGGAAGAGACAACAACCCACGAUCCUCCAUAGCUGUACAUAGAGAAAAAAAGAAAAAACCUAAUCAUCAAUCAUGCCUUCUGGUGCUAAGAAAAGGAAAGCCGCCAAGAAGAAACAGGAAGAAGCCUCUUCUACUCUCAAACCCAACAACAACCAUGGAACUACUGAGGAAGAAGCUGUCAGAUUGGUAAAGGAUACUGAUGAGCGUAUAGAGAUCACUGAUUCAAGCCAUGAUCAUGACAAGAGCUCUAGCAGUCGCAGUAGUGGUAGUGGUAGUAGUAGCAGCAGCUCGGAUGAUGAGUCUCAGGAAGUCAAGAGGGAAGAUGGUGAUAAGGUGGAGACUCAAGUUAUUACACCAGUGCCAAGUCAGCCUGUUCCAGUUGCUGGAGAUGCUCCGUUCAUCAUUGGUUCUACUGCUAAUGCGAUUGUAGAGAAUACCGGUUUGAUGGAUUCGACUACACCUAGCGAUAUAAACACUGAGAACAUUGUCGAGAUCUCCUCUGUUGAUUCAGUACUCUCAAACGAGCCUGCCGCUGAAGUUUCUCUUGCAUCUGAUGAGGUUAAGCAGGCGUCUUCAAGUAAAAAAGAAUCCAAAUGUGUUCCUGAAGGCAGCAAAGAGUCUGAAGUUGUCAUUUCUCAUGAGGAAGAAGAGGCUCCCGUGCGACCAACACAUGGAGUUGCACAAAGAACCUCAUGGUUAAGUUGUUGUGGUUUGUUUGAUGUGAUGACAGGAUCCAGUAGAUAAACUCAGGUACACCAAAUUCUUUCUUUUAUGAUCUUCAUUUGUCUUCCUAUGAUUCAUAGCUCAUGUAUGCAUUUUGUUGAUCAGUGGCACUGUCGAGUGAGCUGCGAGUAAAGAGAAAAUUAGCCUAAAUCCUGAUUUGCUUGUUGACCCCUCCUGUUUUGUUCUUUCGCAGAAACUUGAGUCACCUUUAAACUCCCAAGCUGCAACAAAACAAUAUGCUAAAAUUUGAGGAACUUGGAUGAAUGGCUCUCUUUCACUUAAGUACAUCUUUUCUCAUAUGAAAUAGCACUCAACUUGUAGUAGUAGCCUUCUUCAUUAGCAGGCAUGUCUUCCCUUUCGCUCUGUACCAUUACUUGUCUAUUGUUGUUUUUGUUCUCUCAGGUUCUGAGACUUUGAGACUGUGUUUGUUGUUGGCAAAUCUAAUGUAUGAUUAAAAUCACUACACAUGAGCUCAAAAUAUAUGUUAUUUAGCAUUAAGGUU
RNA transcript from Brassica rapa (field mustard), 1332 nucleotides. RefSeq lists it as uncharacterized. The record is from RefSeq and is a predicted model, not a curated record. NCBI's taxonomy places the organism in Eukaryota, Viridiplantae, Streptophyta, Magnoliopsida, Brassicales, Brassicaceae.